AUUGAACGCUGGCGGCAUGCCUUACACAUGCAAGUCGAACGGUAGAGUAGCAAUACUUGAGAGUGGCGAACGGGUGAGUGAUGCAUCGGAACAUGCCCAGUCGUGGGGGAUAACGUAGCGAAAGUUACGCUAAUACCGCAUACGAUCUAUGGAUGAAAGCGGGGGACUCGCAAGAGCCUCGCGCGAUUGGAGUGGCCGAUGUCAGAUUAGGUAGUUGGUGAGGUAAAGGCUCACCAAGCCGACGAUCUGUAGCUGGUCUGAGAGGACGACCAGCCACACUGGGACUGAGACACGGCCCAGACUCCUACGGGAGGCAGCAGUGGGGAAUUUUGGACAAUGGGCGCAAGCCUGAUCCAGCCAUUCCGCGUGCAGGACGAAGGCCUUCGGGUUGUAAACUGCUUUUGUACGGAACGAAAAGGCUCUGGUUAAUACCUGGGGCUCAUGACGGUACCGUAAGAAUAAGCACCGGCUAACUACGUGCCAGCAGCCGCAGUAA
Molecule: ribosomal RNA, 496 nt
Filed under: uncultured bacterium
Lineage: Bacteria
Description: partial 16S ribosomal RNA
Rfam family: Bacterial small subunit ribosomal RNA
Source: RNAcentral